GGAUGCGAUCAUACAAGCACUAAAGCAUCGGAUCCCAUCAGAACUCCGAAGUUAAGCGUGCUUGGGCGAGAGUAGUACUAGGAUGGGUGACCUCCUGGGAAGUCCUUGUGUUGCAUUCC
This 119-nucleotide ribosomal RNA is filed under the name Triticum aestivum (bread wheat). The record is from RNAcentral. Lineage: Eukaryota; Viridiplantae; Streptophyta; Magnoliopsida; Poales; Poaceae.